RNAcentral lists this ribosomal RNA (1382 nucleotides) under uncultured bacterium. Its description in RNAcentral is "bacterial SSU rRNA". It matches the Rfam family "Bacterial small subunit ribosomal RNA". The record is from RNAcentral.
GAAUUCGCCCUUAGAGUUUGAUCCUGGCUCAGGACGAACGCUGGCGGCGCGCCUAACACAUGCAAGUCGAACGAGCGAGAGAGAGCUUGCUUUCUCAAGCGAGUGGCGAACGGGUGAGUAACGCGUGAGGAACCUGCCUCAAAGAGGGGGACAACAGUUGGAAACGACUGCUAAUACCGCAUAAGCCCACAGCUCGGCAUCGAGCAGAGGGAAAAGGAGCAAUCCGCUUUGAGAUGGCCUCGCGUCCGAUUAGCUAGUUGGUGAGGUAAUGGCCCACCAAGGCAACGAUCGGUAGCCGGACUGAGAGGUUGAACGGCCACAUUGGGACUGAGACACGGCUCAGACUCCUACGGGAGGCAGCAGUGGGGAAUAUUGCACAAUGGGGGAAACCCUGAUGCAGCGACGCCGCGUGGAGGAAGAAGGUCUUCGGAUUGUAAACUCCUGUUGUUGAGGAAGAUAAUGACGGUACUCAACAAGGAAGUGACGGCUAACUACGUGCCAGCAGCCGCGGUAAAACGUAGGUCACAAGCGUUGUCCGGAAUUACUGGGUGUAAAGGGAGCGCAGGCGGGAAGACAAGUUGGAAGUGAAAUCUAUGGGCUCAACCCAUAAACUGCUUUCAAAACUGUUUUUCUUGAGUAGUGCAGAGGUAGGCGGAAUUCCCGGUGUAGCGGUGGAAUGCGUAGAUAUCGGGAGGAACACCAGUGGCGAAGGCGGCCUACUGGGCACCAACUGACGCUGAGGCUCGAAAGUGUGGGUAGCAAACAGGAUUAGAUACCCUGGUAGUCCACACCGUAAACGAUGAUUACUAGGUGUUGGAGGAUUGACCCCUUCAAUGCCGCAGUUAACACAAUAAGUAAUCCACCUGGGGAGUACGACCGCAAGGUUGAAACUCAAAGGAAUUGACGGGGGCCCGCACAAGCAGUGGAGUAUGUGGUUUAAUUCGACGCAACGCGAAGAACCUUACCAAGUCUUGACAUCCUGCGACGAUGCUGGAAACAGUAUUUUCCUUCGGGACGCAGAGACAGGUGGUGCAUGGUUGUCGUCAGCUCGUGUCGUGAGAUGUUGGGUUAAGUCCCGCAACGAGCGCAACCCUUACUGUCAGUUACUACGCAAGAGGACUCUGGCAGGACUGCCGUUGACAAAACGGAGGAAGGUGGGGAUGACGUCAAAUCAUCAUGCCCUUUAUGACUUGGGCUACACACGUACUACAAUGGCGUUAAACAAAGAGAAGCAAGACCGCGAGGUGGAGCAAAACUCAGAAACAACGUCCCAGUUCGGACUGCAGGCUGCAACUCGCCUGCACGAAGUCGGAAUUGCUAGUAAUCGUGGAUCAGCAUGCCACGGUGAAUACGUUCCCGGGCCUUGCACUCACCGCCCGUCA